AGAACGAACGCUGGCGGCAGGCUUAACACAUGCAAGUCGAACGCUCGUAGCAAUACGGGAGUGGCAGACGGGUGAGUAACGCGUGGGAACAUACCCUCCGGUUCGGAAUAGCUCAGGGAAACUUGGAUUAAAUACCGGAUACGGCCGAGAGGCGAAGGAUUUAUCGCCGGAGGAUUGGCCCGCGUUCGAUUAGCUAGUUGGUGAGGUAACGGCUCACCAAGGCGAUGAUCGAUAGCUGGUCUGAGAGGAUGAUCAGCCACAUUGGGACUGAGACACGGCCCAAACUCCUACGGGAGGCAGCAGUGGGAAUAUUGGACAAUGGGCGCAAGCCUGAUCCAGCCAUGCCGCGUGGAUGAUGAAGGCCCUAGGGUUGUAAAGCCCUUUCGGCGGGGAAGAUAAUGACGGUACCCGCAGAAGAACGCCCGGCUAACUUCGUGCCAGCAGCCGC
Molecule: ribosomal RNA, 448 nt
Filed under: uncultured bacterium
Lineage: Bacteria
Description: SSU rRNA
Rfam family: Bacterial small subunit ribosomal RNA
Source: RNAcentral